UUGAUCAUAUCUCUUGUUACAUAGGAUACUGCCUUCUUUUCCAUCACAACUUGAAAUGCUCUUUGUGAAGCUCCUUUACUUUGUAUUGCCUUUCUUCUGACCUCUCAUUCCAAAACAUUCCUAGCCCUGCAAUAGUAAUAAUAAUAAUAAAUCUAGCUGACAUGUAAAAGCAGUGAAGUUAUUCUUUUAUCACUGUUUUAGGUUCAGUAUAAGAGUGAUUUUCUGUGAUGUUAAGGAACGUACCUAUGAAGAUCUAUGCCUGAAGAAUGUGAUUCUGAAAAGUAUUGCAGAUUGAAGACUUCAGCCAUGCUUCUUGAAAGAAACUGCCAAAAUGUCAUGCAGCACCAAAACUGCAUUCUUAUAGCACACAGGUGUGCUCUGUGACAACUGCUCAUACAGCAUGGUGCAUCUCAUGGCUGCAUGAGAAGAAAGAGGCUCUAACUCUGACAUCCCUCAAAAAUCCUGCUAAAUCCCAAAACAUGCUUCCUGACACCACAUGUUGAAUCCCACCUCCCUGCAGGCAAUAAGCCCCUUGCUCUGCAAGUAGAACUGGAGACCUCUCCCUCUGACCCUCUGGAGUGCCAUCUGCAGACCAUGGGGAUGGUAAGCCUCCAGUGACAGCCUUCAGAGCACACAGGAUGGGAUCUCCUUGGCAGUUGGAUACCCCUGCUGACACCAUGCCACUGCACUCCCUGCUGUUCCUGGAGAUGAGCCAUAGGCCAUGAAACCUUACGCUGGUCUCAGCCUCUUGGCAUCCUGCUGUCUGGUGAAACUAAUGUGGAACAUAUUACACACAGUAAUUGCCAUUGCACACUUGGACACACACUGUCUGUAAGCCCACAUUCAGCAAAAGAGCAUAUAGUUUAAUCUCUUAUUUUCUCUCUUUUUUUUCUCCCAUAAACACUGAUUACAUUAUGUUACAGAAAGUGCAAACAUCUUAAUGGGUUUCAGAGUAAAACUGAUAUUUUUAGGGAAACUGGGAAUCAAAAGCCUGAUUUGCUAAAAAUGUGAUUACAUAUCCUAAAACUCUGUGAAUGCAAAUUAUUUUGCAAGUCCUUUUUCAUACUUCUUGGAUGUCGUGAAAUCAAUGAUAUAUUUAUAGCUAUGAAGUGUGGCUUGAUGGAAGCCUUAAUUGGGUUGAAAUAAAACCUGCUUUCCUUC
This is a non-coding RNA of Coturnix japonica (Japanese quail), 1161 nucleotides long. The record is from RefSeq and is a predicted model, not a curated record. Lineage: Eukaryota; Metazoa; Chordata; Aves; Galliformes; Phasianidae.